CAAAAUGCUGCCCUUUGCUGUUGUGGAAUUUCUGGAUUUCUGUACUGUCGCCAUUAAGAAACUGGUUUACUGGUUCAGAGGAAGAGGAGUGUUACUGGCCACCUUCCUCCACAGCCAACACUGACCAAUUCGUUAGAGAGGGAGGGAAGAAGCCCACAAGAAGACUGGUUAAAAUUCCAAGUGUGGGUUUUGGGAAAAGCUGCUGGCUGUCCCACUGCCAGGACAAAGCUCCGCAAAGCUGAAGUGUCCUCAGAUCUACAGACAGAUCCAGAACCAGAGGGGGUCAAGCGCAAAAGAAAACCAGUUCAGCCCAGUGGAUUGGCAGUGAGGGAUGGAAUGUUUGUCCGUAUACUGACAGUACUAGAAGAAAUAAAGGAUUAUCAGAAGGUACAGGGAAGCAUGUUACAGUCUCUUCUGCAAAAAGAACAUGACAGUGGGGUUCCUGUCUUGCCCAAGGGGGUUGCCUUUCCAUUGAAGAACUUUACUGAAGUUGAUGAUAUGGAGUUAAAGCUCUGUGAGUCUGACUUUCAGAAAAACAUUGUAAGUAUUCUCAAAACAAACAGUGUGUAUUUGUAG
Molecule: long non-coding RNA, 576 nt
Organism: Cyprinus carpio (common carp)
Lineage: Eukaryota; Metazoa; Chordata; Actinopteri; Cypriniformes; Cyprinidae
Source: Ensembl